This 774-nucleotide ribosomal RNA is filed under the name uncultured Neocallimastigales. RNAcentral describes it as "partial large subunit ribosomal RNA". It matches the Rfam family "Eukaryotic large subunit ribosomal RNA", at positions 22 to 637 of the family's 3401-position model. The record is from RNAcentral. Lineage: Eukaryota; Fungi; Neocallimastigomycota; Neocallimastigomycetes; Neocallimastigales.
GUACACGCUGUGACUAGCAUAUCAAUAAGCGGAGGAAAAGAAACUAACAAGGAUUCCCCUAGUAACGGCGAGUGAAGCGGGAAGAGCUCAAAUUUGAAAUCUUAAAGGGUUUCCCUUUACGAAUUGUAGUUUAAAGAAGUGUUUUCUGUUGAGGUUUUGGUAAAAGUUCUUUGGAAUAGGACAUCAUAGAGGGUGAGAAUCCCGUAUUUGACCUUUACUUUCAACUUUGUGAUACACUUUCAAAGAGUCGGAUUGUUUGGGAAUGCAGUCCAAAAUGGGUGGUAAAUUUCAUCUAAAGCUAAAUAUUGGCGAGAGACCGAUAGCGAACAAGUACCGUGAGGGAAAGAUGAAAAGAACUUUGAAAAGAGAGUUAAACAGUACGUGAAAUUGUCAAAAGGGAAGCGUUUGACACCAGUGUUGUUUUUCUGAAAAUCAAUUAAAGAACUGUUUAUGCUAAGUUGUUUAGACUUUAUCAGCUAACUGUUUAGUUUUGAGCUUUCCUUUAAUGCACUUUUCAGUUAACAAGUCAACAUCAAUUUCUUUUGCUGUAAAAAAGCUUGAGGAAGGUGGCUUGAGAUUCGUCUUAAGUGUUUAUAGCCUCUUGCCUAUGCAGUCGGAGAGAUUGAGGUCUGCAGCGUAGAUCCUUCGGGGCUAAAUGCAUUUGUGCUAAGUUAUAGCAUUUUAUAGACAACUUGUUGACUAUGAUUUGUCUUGUAGCUUACUCGCUUAUGUUAUUUUACCUACGCUUAGGAUGUUGACAGCAGUAUAGACUGU